UACGUAGGUGGCAAGCGUUAUCCGGAUUUAUUGGGCGUAAAGGGAACGCAGGCGGUCUUUUAAGUCUGAUGUGAAAGCCUUCGGCUUAGCCGGAGUAGUGCAUUGGAAACUGGGAGACUUGAGUGCAGAAGAGGAGGGUGGAACUCCAUGUGUAGCGGUGAAAUGCGUAGAUAUAUGGAAGAACACCAGUGGCGAAAGCGGCUCUCUGGUCUGUAACUGACGCUGAGGUUCGAAAGCGUGGGUAGCAAACAGG
Molecule: ribosomal RNA, 253 nt
Filed under: uncultured bacterium
Lineage: Bacteria
Description: partial 16S ribosomal RNA
Rfam family: Bacterial small subunit ribosomal RNA
Source: RNAcentral